This is a long non-coding RNA of Xenia sp. Carnegie-2017, 570 nucleotides long. RefSeq lists it as uncharacterized. The transcript is spliced from 3 exons. NCBI's taxonomy places the organism in Eukaryota, Metazoa, Cnidaria, Anthozoa, Malacalcyonacea, Xeniidae. The record is from RefSeq and is a predicted model, not a curated record.
GUCGUAUAAAAUCCAAGGGAAAACAUAGUUGGUGGUGGGCCAUUUUGUGAAGGGAAUGCCUAUUCUGGCCAGAAUGCUCCGGACAAAGCACCUUCGCAACUUACUGUUAGUAAAAUUGGUGCCAGAUACUUCAUUGUCCAGUGGAAAAACUUACAUUGAGAGAGGAAGCGUUGAUGGCUAUAACCUCAUAUUUACAAUCAACUUGGCACCUCUUCAACAUCGCGUCGUUCGAUCAAUGCGAAUCUUUGCACGGAGGAUAGUACAUGCGAACUGAAUAUCAGCGCCAGCCUCACAUCCAAACGUGUCGACGGUCUUCUACCCGACACCGAAUACAGAAUAUCUCUUCGCGGUUAUAAUAGCGGCGGAUUUGGUCGCCGUAGUGCACCCAUUUUAGUUCGAACAAUGGAAGACGUACCCGAGGCAGUUGCUACCCUUACCCUCACGCCGUACGCCAAGUUUGUUAAAGUAGAGUGGACGGAACCGAACCAACCAAACGGAAUUAUCACCAAGUACAGAAUAUCCAUUGAUAAGCAACCCAAUUUUAAACCUAUCAUUCUUAACGCCAAUACC